This 794-nucleotide ribosomal RNA is filed under the name Citrobacter farmeri. RNAcentral describes it as "bacterial SSU rRNA". It matches the Rfam family "Bacterial small subunit ribosomal RNA", at positions 55 to 842 of the family's 1533-position model. The record is from RNAcentral. Lineage: Bacteria; Pseudomonadati; Pseudomonadota; Gammaproteobacteria; Enterobacterales; Enterobacteriaceae.
AUGCAAGUCGUACGGUAACAGGUAAGCAGCUUGCUGCUUUGCUGACGAGUGGCGGACGGGUGAGUAAUGUCUGGGAAACUGCCCGAUGGAGGGGGAUAACUACUGGAAACGGUAGCUAAUACCGCAUAAUGUCGCAAGACCAAAGAGGGGGACCUUCGGGCCUCUUGCCAUCGGAUGUGCCCAGAUGGGAUUAGCUUGUUGGUGAGGUAACGGCUCACCAAGGCGACGAUCCCUAGCUGGUCUGAGAGGAUGACCAGCCACACUGGAACUGAGACACGGUCCAGACUCCUACGGGAGGCAGCAGUGGGGAAUAUUGCACAAUGGGCGCAAGCCUGAUGCAGCCAUGCCGCGUGUAUGAAGAAGGCCUUCGGGUUGUAAAGUACUUUCAGCGGGGAGGAAGGUGUUAAGGUUAAUAACCUCAGCCAUUGACGUUACCCGCAGAAGAAGCACCGGCUAACUCCGUGCCAGCAGCCGCGGUAAUACGGAGGGUGCAAGCGUUAAUCGGAAUUACUGGGCGUAAAGCGCACGCAGGCGGUCUGUCAAGUCGGAUGUGAAAUCCCGGGGCUCAACCUGGGAACUGCAUUCGAAACUGGCAGGCUUGAGUCUCGUAGAGGGGGGUAGACUCCAGGUGUAGCGGUGAAAUGCGUAGAGAUCUGGAAGAAUACCGGUGGCGAAAGCGGCCCCCUGGACAAGACUGACGCUCAGGUGCGAAGCGUGGGGAGCAAACAGGAUAGAUACCCUGGUAGUCCCGCCGUAAACGAUGUCUAUUGGAGGUGUGCCCUUGAGGGUGGCUC